Molecule: ribosomal RNA, 491 nt
Filed under: uncultured bacterium
Lineage: Bacteria
Description: partial 16S ribosomal RNA
Rfam family: Bacterial small subunit ribosomal RNA
Source: RNAcentral
AGUGAACGCUGGCGGUAGGCCUAACACAUGCAAGUCGAACGGCAGCACAGUAAGAGCUUGCUCUUACGGGUGGCGAGUGGCGGACGGGUGAGGAGUACAUCGGAAUCUACUUUUUCGUGGGGGAUAACGUAGGGAAACUUACGCUAAUACCGCAUACGACCUACGGGUGAAAGCAGGGGAUCUUCGGACCUUGCGCGAUUGAAUGAGCCGAUGUCGGAUUAGCUAGUUGGCGGGGUAAAGGCCCACCAAGGCGACGAUCCGUAGCUGGUCUGAGAGGAUGAUCAGCCACACUGGAACUGAGACACGGUCCAGACUCCUACGGGAGGCAGCAGUGGGGAAUAUUGGACAAUGGGCGCAAGCCUGAUCCAGCCAUACCGCGUGGGUGAAGAAGGCCUUCGGGUUGUAAAGCCCUUUUGUUGGGAAAGAAAAGCAGCAGGUUAAUACCCCGCUGUUCUGACGGUACCCAAAGAAUAAGCACCGGCUAACUUCAU